This 427-nucleotide small RNA is filed under the name Drosophila pseudoobscura pseudoobscura. RNAcentral describes it as "GA30842". The record is from RNAcentral. Lineage: Eukaryota; Metazoa; Arthropoda; Insecta; Diptera; Drosophilidae.
CCUAAGACAUAUGCUGCCUUUAAAUAAAAAAGAUAUCAGGAUCUGUAGAUCUUUUAGUAUAUUUGGAAAAGACUUACAGCCAAGAAUAGCAACGAAGUGCAGUUCAUGGAGGACUUACAUUCGACUUUUGAUCACCAUAGAGAAUAAGCUUUUAUAUUGAAUUAGUUUCGUGGUCAAUCAAGAGCUUUGCAGGUCCUUGGUUAAACGCAACUUUUCGUAGUAUUUGAUUUAGUAUAUUUUCAAUAUAUUUCAUACAGUGUGUACAUACUCGUAAAUACUCGUAUCUAAAGGGUUUCUGUUAUUACAAUUACUGCCCGACUAUCUUCUUGAUAUUAUUGAUGCCGUCGUUUACUGCAUUCGUAAUUUCGGGUACUAGUGGAAUUUUUUCAAUUACACCAACACUGCAUCGCCAGAGACAUAUGCUGCC